UAGGAAUUUUCGUCAAUGGGCGCAAGCCUGAACGAGCAAUGCCGCGUGAACGAGGAAGGUCUUCGGAUCGUAAAGUUCUGUUGAAGGGGAAAAAGAGCGGAGAGAGGAAAUGGUCUCCGAUUGAUAUUACCCUUCGAGGAAGUCACGGCUAACUACGUGCC
RNAcentral lists this ribosomal RNA (161 nucleotides) under uncultured bacterium. RNAcentral's name for it is "partial 16S ribosomal RNA". It matches the Rfam family "Bacterial small subunit ribosomal RNA", at positions 356 to 509 of the family's 1533-position model. The record is from RNAcentral.